UGGGGCUAUAGCUCAGAGUUGGGAGAGCACUUGCAUGGCAUGCAAGAGGUCGGCGGUUCGAUCCCGCUUAGCUCCAU
This 77-nucleotide transfer RNA is filed under the name Coxiella endosymbiont of Amblyomma nuttalli. RNAcentral's name for it is "tRNA-Ala". It matches the Rfam family "tRNA". From Rfam's summary of the family: Transfer RNA (tRNA) molecules are approximately 80 nucleotides in length. Their secondary structure includes four short double-helical elements and three loops (D, anti-codon, and T loops). Lineage: Bacteria; Pseudomonadati; Pseudomonadota; Gammaproteobacteria; Legionellales; Coxiellaceae. The record is from RNAcentral.